AAUGGGAUGAACAGCCCAGGCAUCUCUACCUUUAAGCCAUCACUGCUGCCUUUGGCACUUGAACCUUUGAAUCGGACUCUGCUCUGUUCUACGCAGAGAAACAUUUUGUUGAGGACAGCAACCAAAGUGGGCGUGGCCUGCCUCCUGCGGGGAGCACAAAGGUGGGUUUUUGUUUUUAUGUAUCAACUCUGUUCUCUUUGUCUCCACAGCUCCAGCACCCGUUUAAGUCCUCAGUUUUACCGUAAGGACCCAGAUUCAUCUACAGGGCCAGAGUGUGACCUCAAGAGGGUGGUGUCAGCUCAAAGGCCACUCAGCUGCUCUCAGCUGUCUUUGCUGGAAUGGAAAGAGAUCUUGUUGUAAGAGGAGCGUUGGAUGAACCAGCCCCAACCCAGGGUCUAGAGUUUGAGGAGUGACAAGGGCAGAUCUCUAAGGAAGCGAAACUCCUCUGAGACCCGACAGGGAACCAGCUUCCUCGAGGAACCUGAGUGAAAGGAGGACCUGUCACCUGAGCCUCCUCAGGUCAUCCAUCGUCCUCGAAGGAUCCAUCCUGAGGCAUCAACUGAAAAUUAUGGCUCCUGAGAAAGAAUAAAGCACACUGUUCACUGCCAGGAUGAGUGUCCCUGUGGCAGCAUCUAGAGCUUGCCUGUUGCUCCUGCUAACGACCUCUGUCCCCCGUGUGGCCCUUUCUUUCUGUCACUUCUGUAGCUGUACUGUUGACAACUCUUCUCUAGGUGUCUCUGAAGCCCUGAAAGGCCUCUCAGCUUGGCAUGGCCCCCCGCCCCGCCCCAGCUCGCUCUCUUGAUGCCCAUGUGUGUGACUUGACAGCAUUCCUGCCUUGCUGGCCCACUGCCCCACUCCAAGGAAGGACGCUCUCAAGGUCCAGGUCCCUGGCAGAGAGGAAAGGAGGUUGGUUCCUGACAGAGUUGUGAGGAGGAUGGAGAGGAGAAGACCCUGGCGCAGACCCCCACCUGGCCCCACCUCCUGCGAGGGUAUCACUGUUGGUUCACUCUGACUCUGUAUUCACCUGACGUGCUGAGGAGCCUGGGCAGGCUCUCGUGAUCACACCCGCUCUGCUGGGCUGGCCCUUGUACCAGCAAGGAGGCCCAGGAGGCUCCAGUGCUUCUGCUCCUGCUCUGUUCACCCCUCCCCCGUGCCUGGUGUUCACACAGGCUCCCAGUGGCCUGGGACUGAUGUCUUCUUACUUACCAACAGUGUCAGGGCAACAUCAGUGGAAUGAGAACCCUGCUGAGCACAUGGGGCAGCUGUUUCCGUGGGACCUGCUGUCCUGACCUGGGAGUGCCAUGCUGGGGACAUGCUGAGGACCACAGGUGAUUUGAUGAAGGAGGUGCAGGAGUGGCCUCCAGGGGCACAGCCCACCUCCACUGACCCCCUGGCUCCCUGAGGCAGAGACACGGGUGCAGAGCUGGCCUAUCACAUGCUCUUUCCUGGUACCCUGAGUUUUUGGGUGAAUGAAGAAAAGGAGGGAGGAGAGAGAGGGUGGUGACUCCUCCAGGGGACAUGCCCCAGGAUCUGAGCUUAGGGUGGAGCUGCUACGCCCUGGCCACCAUGGCUUCUGGUUUUCCAACCUGGUCUCCCCACCCUGUGAAGAGCCCACUAUCACACAUUGUCCUGGCGGCUGAGGACCUUGGCUGUACCUCAGCCCGUUUGUUGGCCAGUGAGAAUGUUUCUGGACACCCUACACUCCUUUUCUGGACAACCGUAGGAUGUGUGGACAGGAUGACUGUGGGCCCCAGGCCCCUUCUCCAUACAGAAAGAGGGCACACAGAGCCAGCUAUGGCGAGUCAUGCAGCAUGAGCCUAGAGUGUGUGAGCUCUGGGUUCCCACAAUACGGAGGCAGGACAGGGAUGCAGAUAAAAGGGGCCCAUGAACUAGCUUUUCCAGACCAGACCAAAUCUUUAAUUUUCUUAGUCCCGAUUUUCAACUUUAAAGUCAUGACUCUAGGAACUGGAGAGGUGGCUCAGUGGUUAAGAGCACUUGCUGUUCUCCCAGAGGACCAGGGUUCGAUUCCCAA
Long non-coding RNA from Mus musculus (house mouse), 2032 nucleotides. RefSeq annotates it as predicted gene, 30536. The transcript is spliced from 5 exons. The record is from RefSeq and is a predicted model, not a curated record. NCBI's taxonomy places the organism in Eukaryota, Metazoa, Chordata, Mammalia, Rodentia, Muridae.